Molecule: small nuclear RNA, 182 nt
Organism: Oryctolagus cuniculus (rabbit)
Lineage: Eukaryota; Metazoa; Chordata; Mammalia; Lagomorpha; Leporidae
Gene: U2
Rfam family: U2 spliceosomal RNA
About the family: U2 is a small nuclear RNA (snRNA) component of the spliceosome (involved in pre-mRNA splicing). Complementary binding between U2 snRNA (in an area lying towards the 5' end but 3' to hairpin I) and the branchpoint sequence (BPS) of the intron results the bulging out of an unpaired adenosine, on the BPS, which initiates a nucleophilic attack at the intronic 5' splice site, thus starting the first of two transesterification reactions that mediate splicing.
Source: Ensembl
AUUAAUCCUUUGACUAAGAUCAAGUGUAGUAUCUCUUCUUAGUUUAAUGUCUAAUCAUGAUCUGAGGACAAUGUACUAAUUAGGUGUUUGAAUAAGGGAGUUGGAAAUAAAACAGAAAUUUGCAACAACUACUCCAUAUAGUGACCUGGUAUUGUUGUAACUUGAGGAACCUUGUACCCACU